UUACAGCGAAGCGGCGCGAGCCGCCUUUCGAACCACCGCGUACCGAACCCCCCACGUUGCCUCGGCGGGCGCCGGGCGCCCCGCGCCCGCCCCGCCGAACGGCCCCCCAGCAAGACCCCUUCCGUCGAGAUGGCGUCGUCUGAACCCUCCGGGGAAAACGUUUCUGAAACGAAAAACACAACUUUCAACAAUGGAUCUCUUGGCUCCGGCAUCGAUGAAGAACGCAGCGAAACGCGAUAGCUAGUGUGAAUUGCAGAUUUCAGUGAAUCAUCGAGUCUUUGAACGCACAUUGCGCCUCUUGGUAUUCCUCGAGGCAUGCCUGUUCGAGCGUCGUUACGCCCCUCAAGCGCGAGCUUGGUGUUGGGGACCGCCCCUGAGACACGGCGGCGGCCCCGGAAUGCAUCGGCGGUGCUGGUCCCAGCCCGGAGCGCAGCAGACAUGCGGCUCCGCGGGCGGGGCCGGCGCCCGCCGGACAAACGACGAGACCCCUCCACAAGUCGACCUCGAAUCAGGUAGGGAUACCC
This 524-nucleotide unclassified non-coding RNA is filed under the name leaf metagenome. RNAcentral's name for it is "partial contains internal transcribed spacer 1, 5.8S ribosomal RNA, internal transcribed spacer 2, and large subunit ribosomal RNA". The stretch from base 180 to 333 matches the Rfam family "5.8S ribosomal RNA". The record is from RNAcentral.